Molecule: ribosomal RNA, 460 nt
Filed under: uncultured bacterium
Lineage: Bacteria
Description: bacterial SSU rRNA
Rfam family: Bacterial small subunit ribosomal RNA
Source: RNAcentral
ACUCCUACGGGAGGCAGCAGUGGGGAAUAUUGCACAAUGGGGAAACCCUGAUGCAGCCAUGCCGCGUGUGUGAAGAAGGCCUUCGGUUGUAAAGCACUUUCAGUAGGGAGGAAGGUAGUGUAGUUAACACCUGCAUUAUUUGACGUUACCUACAGAAGAAGCACCGGCUAACUCCGUGCCAGCAGCCGCGGUAAUACGGAGGGGUGCGAGCGUUAAUCGGAAUUACUGGGCGUAAAGCGCAUGCAGGCGGCCUGUUAAGUCAGAUGUGAAAGCCCGGGGGCUUAACCUCGGAAUUGCAUUUGAAACUGGCAGGCUAGAGUCUUGUAGAGGGGGUAGAAUUUCAGGUGUAGCGGUGAAAUGCGUAGAGAUCUGAAGGAAUACCAGUGGCGAAGGCGGCCCCCUGGACAAAGACUGACGCUCAGAUGCGAAAGCGUGGGGAGCAAACAGGAUUAGAUACCCU